GGGGGACCAUGGGUGAGUUUAAAAACAUGGUGGCUUGGUUAGGGCAGUGGAUCUGGAGCACCUGAAGCUCUAAACAUGGAUGAGAAUGAUCAUGAUGAUUGAUGGGUGUCGCAACCCAUACAAAUUUGAUUGCAUAUGAGAAAUGCAGUAUAACUAGGAAGUGACUCCUAGGUCGUCUCACAAGGACCAACUGCGGUUCAAAAUCAGGUCUAACACAUAGUGGGGGGGAUUUUGAAGGUGUUUGAGACGAGAAUUAAACUCAAUUAAAAUGCAUGGAAAUUAAGCACAACCGAAUAAGAUAGAAAACAUUAAAGUAAAAUAAAAUGCUGAACCCAACACUGCAAUAGACAAAUUAGCAAAUGCAUUAGGAAAACAAUUAAAAUAAAACGCAUUCAGCUAUGUGCUUCUUU
RNAcentral lists this long non-coding RNA (410 nucleotides) under Vigna radiata. RNAcentral describes it as "long non-coding RNA (VRAD_LNC015008)". Lineage: Eukaryota; Viridiplantae; Streptophyta; Magnoliopsida; Fabales; Fabaceae. The record is from RNAcentral.